Molecule: ribosomal RNA, 492 nt
Filed under: uncultured bacterium
Lineage: Bacteria
Description: partial 16S ribosomal RNA
Rfam family: Bacterial small subunit ribosomal RNA
Source: RNAcentral
GGGGGGGGGGGGGGGGGGGGGGGGGGGGGGCGGGGGGGGGGGGGGGGCGGGGGGGGCGUGCUCUUACGGGUGGCGAGUGGCGGACGGGUGGGGGAGGCCUCGGAACCUGCUUUUGCGGGGGGGAUAACGUAGGGAAACUUACGCUACUACCGCAUACGCCCUACGGGUGAAAGCAGGGGAUCUUCGGACCUUGCCCGCUUGCAUGAGCCGCUGUCGGAUUAGCUAGUUGGCGGGGUAAAGGCCCACCAAGGCGACGAUCCGUAGCUGGUCUGAGAGGAUGAUCAGCCACACUGGAACUGAGACACGGGCCAGACUCCUACGGGAGGCAGCAGUGGGGAAUAUUGGACAAUGGGCGCAAGCCUGAUCCAGCCAUACCGCGUGGGUGAAGAAGGCCUUCGGGUUGUAAAGCCCUUUUGUUGGGAAAGAAAAGCAGCAGGUUAAUACCCCGCUGUUCUGACGGUACCCAAAGAAUAAGCACCGGCUAACUUCGUG